Molecule: transfer RNA, 77 nt
Filed under: Escherichia coli
Lineage: Bacteria; Pseudomonadati; Pseudomonadota; Gammaproteobacteria; Enterobacterales; Enterobacteriaceae
Also listed under: 1 other name
Description: tRNA-Asp
Rfam family: tRNA
About the family: Transfer RNA (tRNA) molecules are approximately 80 nucleotides in length.
Source: RNAcentral
GGAGCGGUAGUUCAGUAGGUUAGAAUACCUGCCUGUCACGCAGGGGGGCGCGGGUUCGAGUCCCGUCCGUUCCGCCA